UCGGGAAUUUUGGGCAAUGGGCGAAAGCCUGACCCAGCAACGCCGCGUGAAGGAUGAAGUAUUUCGGUAUGUAAACUUCGUAAGAAUAGGAAGAAUAAAUGACGGUACUAUUUGUAGGGUCCGGCUAACUACGUGCCAGCAGCCGCGGUAAUACGUAGGGACCAAGCGUUGUUCGGAUUUACUGGGCGUAAAGGGCGCGUAGGCGGUGUGUCAAGUCAGUUGUGAAAUCUCCGAGCUUAACUCGGAACGGUCAACUGAUACUGUCACACUAGAGUACAGAAGGGGCAAUCGGAAUUCUUGGUGUAGCGGUGAAAUGCGUAGAUAUCAAGAGGAACACCUGAGGUGAAGACGGGUUGCUGGGCUGACACUGACGCUGAGGCGCGAAAGCCAGGGGAGCAAACGGGAUUAGAUACCCGGGUAGUCCCUGAGCGGGCUGGCAAGGCGCAU
RNAcentral lists this ribosomal RNA (447 nucleotides) under uncultured bacterium. Its description in RNAcentral is "bacterial SSU rRNA". It matches the Rfam family "Bacterial small subunit ribosomal RNA", at positions 355 to 825 of the family's 1533-position model. The record is from RNAcentral.